GAUUGGUUCAAGAUUUCCAAUAAAAGUGUCUGAAUAUCUCUCUAACCCUAAAAACAUAUAUCAUCUUCCUCGUACCCCCACCCCUUGCCUUGUAACACCACCGUACACUGCCUUUCUUUGUCGUGCCUCCGUCAUCCGCCGGAGGCGGCGAUGCUCCAAAUGAGCCCAAGAUUUCACCAUAAUCUCUCUUUCCUCUUCUCUUUCCAACCCCCAUAACUACUUCCCUCAAAUCACAACCCAGUUGCUCCAAUCUUCAAUCAAAAUUUCGGCCAAAAAUACAACUUGUCCAAAACUUCCCAAAUUCACACCCUAUAGUCCCCAUAACCCCCUCAACCUGAAUCACAAGCCUAAAACCUUUGAAUAUCACUGGUUAAGCUUGAAUUGCGGAUCUAGGGUUCGUGGGUUCGAGCCAAUUUUGGGGAUUUCUCAGGGUCGAGUGUCUUCUAUAGUAAGUACGCUUUAAUUUUAUGAUUUUAUUCUUAUUAGUGUAGUUUAAUUUUCCUUCCUCUUCUUUCCGUUCGAUCUGGUUGAUUUUUGGAGGCUUUGUCCGUAAGCAAUUUUAAUUUCAUGCCUGCUCAUUAGUUUAAACAUAGUUUUAAUCCUGUUAUAUUAGUUUAAUUUUUCUUUGAUAUCUUAGUUUGGUACAAUAUACUUGAGUCAAUAAUAGGGUUUAGGUCUUGAUUUACUACUAGUUUAAUUAAUUAGCCAGAUUAGUUUUCUUUAUAUUUAUCAUACUCUAAUGUUGUCGUAAAAAAUGGUAGGUGUUAGUCUGAAUUCAGUAGUCUUGAUUUUGGCUUUGAUGCCUGUUCUUUUUUCCUCUGUUUGUUUUCUUCUUUCUUUUCUUAUUUGAUGAUUCCGUGUUAGUUAGCUUAUUCAAAUGUUGAUAUGAUUGAUGGCCGGUGAAGAUGAAUUAGGAUUAGUUUGUAGCUUGGUUUAGCUUUAAUAUUUAGUCUAGAAUUGCUGAAUUUGUUGGUUAUAGCUGUUGAAGGGUUAAUUUGAGUCAGAAAUUUCAAGGGUUCUUCAGGGGUAGUUUGGGUAUAGAAAAUGGUAAUUUUGUUAAGAAUGGUAAUUUUAAAACAAAAGCAAUGGUAGCAUAGGCACUGUCUAGGUAGAAGAACACCUUAGGGCCUUCUAGAAUUGUAAUUUAGUGUAGAUUUUAACACAAUAGAGGUACUUGCUUGAGUAACAAAUUAUAAGUAAAGGGACUAAACUGAAAAUAAUGAAGGACUAAAAGAGAAAAAUCAAAAAUCUGAUUUUUAACCCUCUAAUGUCUUAUAAAUUGGCAUUUUCAUGCUUUGUUGAGUGGUCUUCUUUCAGCCAUUUUAAUUUCCAAAAGACCAACAUUCUCUUUGAGACUAAUUUCCCUUCAGAUCUAAAGUAGGAUUUUGAAUUUCGAAAACCAAAAAGUAAAACAGAAAAACUCUGAAAACAAAAAAAAUAGUCUACUGUUCUAUUGGCAUUUGUAGGUUAAUUUCAAAGGUAGUUGUCAAUUUGCUCAUAUUAGUUUAUGAGAUGAGUCGCUGGAAGUUUUCUGAAUUCUGAGGUUCAAUUUCGAGUAUGUUUGGUGCUUUCUGAAUCAGUGUGAUUGUGUGAUUGGUUUUCGGAAAGUGCUGGGUCAAUUUUGGGGUUUUAGUUGGUACAUUCAAGGGCUGUUGAAUAUUUGCUAGACUGCAUUUGUUGGUGACUGCUGCUGACUACUUCAUUUUCCACUUAUCUUUCAAUAUCCAGGUACAUUUCCUUGAUUUGCACCUAUGUAAAUCCAAGUUGAAGUUGAGAGAAUGAAAGUGCUAUUGGAUCUCUGCCUUCUUAAAAUAUCGUCUGAUGAUUAUUUUUCCAUAGUUUAGUUUGUUUAAAUUGUUUGACUGUUAUUAAUUGAUCAAGUUGGUGUUGAUGCGAGCCAAUGACUGGGUUGUAAUAACGGAGACUGAUAAUUAGGAUUGUUUCAAGUUGUUGUGGGGGAUCUAGGAUUUGUUAAUUGGUUAGUUUCAGGAAUGUGGAUUAGAAUUAACCUUGUUAAAUUCAGUUGUUGAAUGUCAAAAGGUGGUCUGAAAUAGGCAAUUAAUCCAGGUCCUUGAAUUGUCAUGUGAUAGCAGUUAGAAUGGUGUGAGAUUUCAAUUAUUUCAGACUUGGUUUAAUAUUUCGAUAUACGUGUUUCGUUCACCUUAAUAACAUCAAAGGAUGAGUAGAAAUAAUAUAAGUGUUAAGUCAAAAUCAGGAUGGUUUAGCAUUUUCACUGAUUUGAAUAGAUAAGAUUACGUUCUCCUCUAUUAUAAGUUUGGAAUACUAGUAAUUGGAAUUGUUCUUGCAUUUGGGCUGUGAGCUUUGGCCUAGAUUGCAACUGAAAUUAGGCUGUGGUUGUAAAGGAUUAAUGUGUGUUCAUGCGUGUGAUUGCAAUUGCAAUUGAUACUCCAUUUGAGUUUGGACGGAAUCGAUGCUUGGCUGGCGCUCAGCAACUGGAAAUAGAAAUGGGGCAAUAAUACAAGUUCGGGUUCGAUCUAGAUAGCGGGCUCAAAUUACAAGGUCCUUCCUUUUGUUUGGACCCGGACUUGAACUUUAAGCCCGAAUUCUAAAUGUUAAUUAAUUAGGACCUUUUUCUUUUCUUUUAGAGACAAACAAAAAUAGAAAAAUUAUAGUUACUCUUAGGCUUGUCCUUUUAAAAUAAAAUGAGACAAGCC
RNAcentral lists this long non-coding RNA (2675 nucleotides) under Nicotiana benthamiana. RNAcentral's name for it is "long non-coding RNA (NBEN_LNC030764)". Lineage: Eukaryota; Viridiplantae; Streptophyta; Magnoliopsida; Solanales; Solanaceae. The record is from RNAcentral.